RNAcentral lists this ribosomal RNA (420 nucleotides) under uncultured Anaerovorax sp. RNAcentral describes it as "bacterial SSU rRNA". It matches the Rfam family "Bacterial small subunit ribosomal RNA", at positions 355 to 794 of the family's 1533-position model. Lineage: Bacteria; Bacillati; Bacillota; Clostridia; Peptostreptococcales; Anaerovoracaceae. The record is from RNAcentral.
UGGGGAAUAUUGCACAAUGGGCGCAAGCCUGAUGCAGCAACGCCGCGUGAAGGAAGAAGGCCUUUGGGUCGUAAACUUCUGUCCUAGGGGAAGAUAAUGACGGUACCCUUGGAGGAAGCCCCGGCUAACUACGUGCCAGCAGCCGCGGUAAUACGUAGGGGCAAGCGUUAUCCGGAAUUAUUGGGCGUAAAGAGUGCGUAGGUGGUUACCUAAGCAGGGGGUGAAAGGCAUUGGCUUAACCAAUGUUAGCCCCCUGAACUGGGCUACUUGAGUGCAGGAGAGGAAAGCGGAAUUCCUAGUGUAGCGGUGAAAUGCGUAGAUAUUAGGAGGAACACCAGUGGCGAAGGCGGCUUUCUGGACUGUUACUGACACUGAGGCACGAAAGUGUGGGGAGCAAACAGGAUUAGAUACCCUGGUAGU